Molecule: long non-coding RNA, 235 nt
Filed under: Vigna radiata
Lineage: Eukaryota; Viridiplantae; Streptophyta; Magnoliopsida; Fabales; Fabaceae
Description: long non-coding RNA (VRAD_LNC018260)
Source: RNAcentral
GUACUGAUAAAGGUUCAAGUUUGGGGUUGCUAGGUAGCAACCCACUUCUCUGAUCAGUGAGCAAUUGAAAAACAAAAGCAAGAGAAAGGCAAAAGAAAAAAAAAAUGAAAUGAAAAGAAAAAGCUCACUGCAAGGGAAAGAAAGAGAGUUUGUGCUUAAAUGAUAAAUUCAUAAACGUCUAUCUUAACUCAAGGAAAUUUGCUAACCAGAAAAACCAAUUUCCUUCUUAGCCCAG